This 433-nucleotide ribosomal RNA is filed under the name uncultured bacterium. RNAcentral's name for it is "partial 16S ribosomal RNA". It matches the Rfam family "Bacterial small subunit ribosomal RNA", at positions 29 to 507 of the family's 1533-position model. The record is from RNAcentral.
AACGAACGCUGGCGGCAGGCCUAACACAUGCAAGUCGAGCGGACCCUUCGGGGUUAGCGGCGGACGGGUGAGUAACGCGUGGGAAUAUGCCCUUCUCUACGGAAUAGUCCUGGGAAACUGGGGGUAAUACCGUAUACGCCCUUUGGGGGAAAGAUUUAUCGGGAAAGGAUUAGCCCGCGUUGGAUUAGGUAGUUGGUGGGGUAAUGGCCUACCAAGCCGACGAUCCAUAGCUGGUUUGAGAGGAUGAUCAGCCACACUGGGACUGAGACACGGCCCAGACUCCUACGGGAGGCAGCAGUGGGGAAUCUUAGACAAUGGGGGCAACCCUGAUCUAGCCAUGCCGCGUGAGUGAUGAAGGCCUUAGGGUUGUAAAGCUCUUUCAGCUGGGAAGAUAAUGACGGUACCAGCAGAAGAAGCCCCGGCUAACUCCGUG